AACGCACCUUGCGCCUUUUGGUAUUCCGAAAGGCAUGCCUGUUUGAGUGUCAUGAAAUCUCAAUCCCAUCUGGUUUAUGAUCAGGUGUUGGACUUGGACAUGGGCGUCUGCCGGUCACACGGCUCGCCUCAAAUGACUUAGUGGGAUCGCUAGCAUCCGUGACAGACGUAAUAAGUUUCGUCUUGUCCCUUGCGUGCGUCAAGCCUGCUCAGAACACUGCUUGCCUCUGUGCAACACUUUUUUGACUCUGACCUCAAAUCAGGUAGGACUACCCGCUGAACUUAA
This 285-nucleotide unclassified non-coding RNA is filed under the name uncultured fungus. Its description in RNAcentral is "partial contains 5.8S ribosomal RNA, internal transcribed spacer 2, and large subunit ribosomal RNA". The stretch from base 1 to 52 matches the Rfam family "5.8S ribosomal RNA", at positions 103 to 154 of the family's 154-position model. The record is from RNAcentral. Lineage: Eukaryota; Fungi.